GGAGCCUUGGCGCAAUGGUAGCGCGUUGGUUUUCGGUCAGAAAGCAUAAACACCAAAGGUUGUGGGUUCGAUCCCCAUGGGCUUCG
This is a non-coding RNA of Alternaria arbusti, 86 nucleotides long. Lineage: Eukaryota; Fungi; Ascomycota; Dothideomycetes; Pleosporales; Pleosporaceae. The record is from the annotation of a RefSeq genome assembly.